GAUGAACGCUGGCGGCGUGCCUAAUACAUGCAAGUCGAGCGAACAGACGAGGAUUUUGCUCCUCUGUCGUUAGCGGCGGACGGGUGAGUAACACGUAGAUAACCUUCCUAUAAGACUUGGAUAACUUCGGGAAACCGGAGUUAAGACCGGAUAAUCUAUUGACAUGCAUGGUUCUAUAGUGAAAGACGGUUUUUCUGUCACUUAUAGACGUAUCCGCGCCGCAGUAGGUAGUUGGGAAGGUAACGGCUUACCAAGUCAACGAUGCGUAGCCGACGUGAGAGGGUGGUCGGCCGCACUGGAGGUGCGACAGCGUCAAUACGCCUGAGGGAGGCAGCAGUAGCGAAUGGGCCGCAGCGGGCGAAAACAUGACGGAGCAACGCCACGUGAGUUAUGAAGGUGUUCGGAGCGUAAUAACCUGUUAUUAGGGAAGAACAAAUGUGUAAAUGAAAGAGCCCGUAUUGACGGUACCUACACAGAAAGCCCCGGCUAACUACGUG
Molecule: ribosomal RNA, 497 nt
Filed under: uncultured bacterium
Lineage: Bacteria
Description: partial 16S ribosomal RNA
Rfam family: Bacterial small subunit ribosomal RNA
Source: RNAcentral